This 1359-nucleotide ribosomal RNA is filed under the name uncultured Enterobacter sp. RNAcentral describes it as "bacterial SSU rRNA". It matches the Rfam family "Bacterial small subunit ribosomal RNA", at positions 90 to 1445 of the family's 1533-position model. The record is from RNAcentral. Lineage: Bacteria; Pseudomonadati; Pseudomonadota; Gammaproteobacteria; Enterobacterales; Enterobacteriaceae.
GACGAGCGGCGGACGGGUGAGUAAUGUCUGGGAAACUGCCUGAUGGAGGGGGAUAACUACUGGAAACGGUAGCUAAUACCGCAUAAUGUCGCAAGACCAAAGAGGGGGACCUUCGGGCCUCUUGCCAUCAGAUGUGCCCAGAUGGGAUUAGCUAGUAGGUGGGGUAACGGCUCACCUAGGCGACGAUCCCUAGCUGGUCUGAGAGGAUGACCAGCCACACUGGAACUGAGACACGGUCCAGACUCCUACGGGAGGCAGCAGUGGGGAAUAUUGCACAAUGGGCGCAAGCCUGAUGCAGCCAUGCCGCGUGUAUGAAGAAGGCCUUCGGGUUGUAAAGUACUUUCAGCGGGGAGGAAGGCGUUGAGGUUAAUAACCCCAACGAUUGACGUUACCCGCAGAAGAAGCACCGGCUAACUCCGUGCCAGCAGCCGCGGUAAUACGGAGGGUGCAAGCGUUAAUCGGAAUCACUGGGCGUAAAGCGCACGCAGGCGGUCUGUCAAGUCGGAUGUGAAAUCCCCGGGCUCAACCUGGGAACUGCAUUCGAAACUGGCAGGCUAGAGUCUUGUAGAGGGGGGUAGAAUUCCAGGUGUAGCGGUGAAAUGCGUAGAGAUCUGGAGGAAUACCGGUGGCGAAGGCGGCCCCCUGGACAAAGACUGACGCUCAGGUGCGAAAGCGUGGGGAGCAAACAGGAUUAGAUACCCUGGUAGUCCACGCCGUAAACGAUGUCGACUUGGAGGUUGUGCCCUUGAGGCGUGGCUUCCGGAGCUAACGCGUUAAGUCGACCGCCUGGGGAGUACGGCCGCAAGGUUAAAACUCAAAUGAAUUGACGGGGGCCCGCACACAGCGGUGGAGCAUGUGGUUUAAUUCGAUGCAACGCGAAGAACCUUACCUACUCUUGACAUCCAGAGAACUUUCCAGAGAUGGAUUGGUGCCUUCGGGAACUCUGAGACAGGUGCUGCAUGGCUGUCGUCAGCUCGUGUUGUGAAAUGUUGGGUUAAGUCCCGCAACGAGCGCAACCCUUAUCCUUUGUUGCCAGCGGUCCGGCCGGGAACUCAAAGGAGACUGCCAGUGAUAAACUGGAGGAAGGUGGGGAUGACGUCAAGUCAUCAUGGCCCUUACGAGUAGGGCUACACACGUGCUACAAUGGCGCAUACAAAGAGAAGCGACCUCGCGAGAGCAAGCGGACCUCAUAAAGUGCGUCGUAGUCCGGAUUGGAGUCUGCAACUCGACUCCAUGAAGUCGGAAUCGCUAGUAAUCGUAGAUCAGAAUGCUACGGUGAAUACGUUCCCGGGCCUUGUACACACCGCCCGUCACACCAUGGGAGUGGGUUGCAAAAGAAGUAGGUAGCUUAACCUUCGG